AUGAAGAGAGAUAUCAUCCAUCAUGCACGCAUUGUAAAGGCAGCGUCGAUCGCAUACCGGACAAAAGGCGACGAGAUAUUUUCGCCGAAACAAAUUCAAUUCGGUUCGCCGGCCGGCCCCCUCGGUCCAUGCCGUUGCGGCUUGCUCGCACACUUUUUCCAGUUAGCCGAAAGGCCCCGUCGUCCUGCCUAGCACGAAUCGUAAAGCUGAUUAAUUAGCAACCGCGCCUUGGAGCGGUAAGUAAUGACCACACAGUCUCGAGCGAGACUAACACUAACACGUGCCGGAU
RNAcentral lists this long non-coding RNA (289 nucleotides) under Setaria viridis. RNAcentral describes it as "long non-coding RNA (SVIR_LNC005061)". Lineage: Eukaryota; Viridiplantae; Streptophyta; Magnoliopsida; Poales; Poaceae. The record is from RNAcentral.